AUCUCUAUCUCUUCUCACGAGAUAUCGUCGAGGGGCAGAAUUACCUAAAUAACCUAUUGUUCUGUAAGCAUAUGUCGGCCUCCAUCUUCUUCUUCUCUUCAUGUUCAUAACCAGAAACAAGAGGCGAGUUUGAGAGAUUCAUAGAAACGCAACGUUGUGUUCUUCAUUCAUUAGCUCGAGAUGAUUAUCAUUUUACUGUUAAGGUGUGUGAUGAUUAGGGAUAUGCCGAGUUAACGAAAAAAGCAAGAGGCCAAUUUGCUGGUGAUUAAAAGAAGAAAGAAGGAGCAGUAGAAGUCAGGGUUUCCUUUCGUUGAUCGUUGAAUAAGUAAAACAGAGCUAUAUAUAAUGCAAACAACUUAAGAAGUUACCCCAAGCCACCAAUGUCAAACUGCAUAUCAACAGGGAGACUUAUAGCCCAAUGAGCAGAGGAUUUGAUGUUCAUGUUCCCGAAAAUCGCAGUAUUAUGAGGCUCCUUAUUAUGUAUACAUACAUCUGAGCUUCUAACAAGAUGACAUGAAUGGGCCUGCAGAUGAUGUUGGCAAUACCUAAUAAACAAAUUCCUGAAGAUACUCCAGGUGAAUUCCGUAAAGGAAUGGCUUUUGAAGAUAGGGAAGCUGGAUAAAUAUAUAUAUAUAUAUAUAUUUUAAUGAAUUCUGGUGUGUUUUGUUUUGAUCCCUCAGUCAUAUUCAUGUUGGUUAGGACAAUACAGUGGUGGUCAUUUCAUGUAUUGGUACUGAUAUUGUGUCUCUUUUUAGAAACAAUACUUGUAGCGAUCAUAUCAAUGGUGAAUAUUUUGUGAAUUUGAAUCUUGUAAUUUCUAUUUAGAGUUGAUCUUAAUCCUCA
Papaver somniferum (opium poppy) is the source of this 843-nucleotide long non-coding RNA. RefSeq lists it as uncharacterized. NCBI's taxonomy places the organism in Eukaryota, Viridiplantae, Streptophyta, Magnoliopsida, Ranunculales, Papaveraceae. The transcript has 3 exons. The record is from RefSeq and is a predicted model, not a curated record.